This 427-nucleotide ribosomal RNA is filed under the name uncultured bacterium. RNAcentral's name for it is "bacterial SSU rRNA". It matches the Rfam family "Bacterial small subunit ribosomal RNA", at positions 355 to 796 of the family's 1533-position model. The record is from RNAcentral.
UGGGGAAUCUUGCGCAAUGGGCGAAAGCCUGACGCAGCGACGCCGCGUGUGGGAUGAAGGCCUUCGGGUCGUAAACCACUGUCGCGAGGGACGAAUACAUUGACGGUACCUCGAAAGGAAGCACCGGCUAACUCUGUGCCAGCAGCCGCGGUAAUACAGAGGGUGCGAGCGUUGUCCGGAAUCACUGGGCGUAAAGGGCGCGUAGGUGGCUCUAUAAGUCGGGGGUGAAAUGCUGCGGCUCAACCGCAGCGCUGCCUCCGAGACUGUAAGGCUUGAGCACGGUAGAGGCCGAUGGAAUUCCCGGUGUAGCGGUGGAAUGCGUAGAGAUCGGGAAGAACACCGAUGGCGAAGGCAGUCGGCUGGGCCGUUGCUGACACUGAGGCGCGACAGCGUGGGGAGCAAACAGGAUUAGAUACCCGCGUAGUCC